GUUGUCAGGUUGGCUUUAUCUCAGACUGGCAACUAAGCGUGUGGACACAAAUUCCCUUGACUGUCAUUUUAAUAUUCUCUGGAUUUUCUUGCCUGGAAUUGGAUUAUGUUACUAACUACUACUUAAUUAGGUGUUGUAUGGUUACAGAUAUGUUUUGCUGCUAUUUGGUUCUCUAGGCUAUGAAAGGGUAUUGGUUGCUCUUCGAUACUGCUGGGAAACAAAUUGAUGCCGUACAUUUCAUUCAUGCCUUCCAGCUUAUUGAAAGCUUUCCCCCUGUUCCCCUCUUGAAGACGUACUUGAAGAAUUGAAGAAGAAACUCACAGGGGAAAGGGUGUGAGUUCGGGUAGAGAUACUAGUGACAGAUUGAUGUAAAUGCACAGGAACCUGCCGCUUUGAAAGCUGUAGUUAGUUGUGUCCAAGAGUACAGGCUUGAACCUGACUAUCCUCUUGAUCCACUUCAGAGAAGGAUUGAACAACUGGAGAGGUCGAAAUCUGAUAAGAAAAGGGGUGGAGAUUUUGGUAGAAGUCAAAACUUCAAGAAACAAAGAGCAAACUGAGGAUACCGUGGAUUUCUUUCUCACAGUGCCAAGGCAGCUUCUCGUAGGCUUGUUCUGCCUGUUUUCUGAUGUUUUGUGCACUUGCGAGCAAAACGCAACAUUUUCUUUGACAGGGCAGCAUAUGGAGGAAUGCCUGAGAGAUAUCCUCUGGCUGGUCCAAACUCUUAUGAUUAUCAAGUUCCUAGCCAUCCUGUUUUUGUUCAGCAACCAAAUGAUCAAAGAAU
This is a long non-coding RNA of Mangifera indica (mango), 781 nucleotides long. RefSeq lists it as uncharacterized. NCBI's taxonomy places the organism in Eukaryota, Viridiplantae, Streptophyta, Magnoliopsida, Sapindales, Anacardiaceae. The transcript has 3 exons. The record is from RefSeq and is a predicted model, not a curated record.